CGUCUCCCGUGGGCGAGGGGCGGGCGAGCACCGCGGUGGGGGGCGGCGGCGGGCGCUUGAGAUCCUCUUUAAAUCCCCCUUGGAGGGACGUCUGAGAUGAAAGCUGAGGAUCGAUCGAGCUUCACCCGAGUGAAAGUUAAAAACAGAAACGGAAAACAGGGAGCGAAGGCGUAGUGCGAGUGGAGCGGCGGGAAUCUUGAACUCCGAACGGGGAUUGGUCAGCCAGCAGGGAGAGCGAGCCAGCGGCCAGGCGGCCGGCGCUCCGGGAAAACGCGCAGCCCGGCCAGGCUGGUGGGGAGGAGGUCCCCGGGCGAGGGGCGUGCGCUGGGUGCGCCCCGGGGAGACCGGGCCACACGUUCCCGGGCCGGGGCGGGCGCGCGGACCCGCAGUCGGCGGGGCGGGGGGCGUGACCCGCCGCCCUCCCCUUCCACGCCCAGCGAGCGCUGAAACUGUCCGGCCGAAGAGUCCUAGCUCUCCCAACCGCCUCGGCGCGGGCCCGCGCACCCCCGGCCCCGGCCCCCAGCACGCCCCCGAGGGCGCCAGGAUAGGAGUGGAACGGGCUGAUUCAGGGGUUUGCUGUGGAGGCAUCGCGCGUGGGACAGCAGCCUGCGACUGGCGAGACCAAGGAAACUCGCUGCCGGGGUCCUGGCUGGAUCUAGCGGAAACUCAGGUCUCCGGCAGCCAGGAACCUUGCCACCCUUGGCCCACCCCGGAAUUUGUAGAUGAACUACCCAGGAGCGGUGUAUGAGGCGACAGCGGCGCGCAGACCCGCUUUGGGACAGGUUAUAAACAUCUUCCUUUUCAAGAACGCUCAAGCCAGUCUAAGAUCUGAGGCACCGGUGAGGAGAUAACAACAGCCAAUUAUCCUACCUUGGUAUGCUGAGCAACUUAACCUUGAAGCAGAAUUAACUCUUAUUAGUGGUCUUAUUAGUGGCCUUAAAACACAGGGAUGGGGAUGCCCAAAGAUAAUUUAGUAAGUAUGAUUAAUUUUUCAAUGAUUCCAGAGCUCAAAGAGUUCUGUAAGUGAACCCUCUGCCCCAAAACUGAAGUAAGAUGGUUUUCAUGUAUCAGAAAAUUCUGCCUUAAUUUAACCUAAAUUCUUAAGGGCUUUUAAACCCAUUUUCCUCCCAAGUUCUGCAUUAAGUCACUCUCCUUCCUUAUAAUUAAAAUGUUUGCAGAAACUGUU
This is a long non-coding RNA of Panthera uncia (snow leopard), 1186 nucleotides long. RefSeq lists it as uncharacterized. The record is from RefSeq and is a predicted model, not a curated record. NCBI's taxonomy places the organism in Eukaryota, Metazoa, Chordata, Mammalia, Carnivora, Felidae. The transcript is spliced from 3 exons.